This 354-nucleotide RNase P RNA is filed under the name Lachnospiraceae bacterium. RNAcentral's name for it is "RNase P RNA component class A". It matches the Rfam family "Bacterial RNase P class A". Rfam says of the family: Ribonuclease P (RNase P) is a ubiquitous endoribonuclease, found in archaea, bacteria and eukarya as well as chloroplasts and mitochondria. Its best characterised activity is the generation of mature 5'-ends of tRNAs by cleaving the 5'-leader elements of precursor-tRNAs. Cellular RNase Ps are ribonucleoproteins. The record is from RNAcentral. Lineage: Bacteria; Bacillati; Bacillota; Clostridia; Lachnospirales; Lachnospiraceae.
UGAGCAGGACAGACGAUCGCGGCUGCAGCAAUGCAGGUGAGGAAAGUCCGGGCUUCACAGGGCAGGAUGCCGGAUAACGUCCGGCGGAGGCGACUCCCGGGAAAGUGCAACAGAGACAUACCGCCCGCGCAAGCGGGUAAGGGUGAAAAGGCAGUGUAAGAGACUACCGUGCGUCCGGUAACGGGCGUAGCCAUGCAAACCCCAUCCGAAGCAAGACCAAGAUGACCGCAAGGUUGGAAAACCAUAGAUUGGCCCGAUCUGUUUUCCGGUAGGUCGCUCGAGACCAUUGGUAACAGUGGUUCUAGAUAGAUGAUCGUCCAACGACAUAACCCGGCUUAUCGUCCUGCUCAUAAU